RNAcentral lists this long non-coding RNA (468 nucleotides) under Olea europaea (common olive). RNAcentral's name for it is "long non-coding RNA (OEUR_LNC007593)". Lineage: Eukaryota; Viridiplantae; Streptophyta; Magnoliopsida; Lamiales; Oleaceae. The record is from RNAcentral.
GAAUUAAUUGAGCUCUCUAAACUAGUUAACAAUCAUAGAAAGGUGAUAUAUAUGCCCCAUUGCAUGUAUUAGAGUAAUGAAGUAGUUGUUCUUUAUAUAAUCGGCCCAUGUGAGAUGGUGGCCCCAUGAAAACUAUAAAAUGAAUUCCACAAAGACUUGCUUUAAAUUUCUUAAUUAUAUAUACACCUUGCAACUUUCAACAACACUUCCUAAUUAUUGAUCUUUCCACAUGAAAUUGUUUUGUUAUGAGACAUCUCCCCACCCACAUCCCAUCCCACCCACAUGAUAUUAAUGUGACCUAUAAUUGUUGGGACAAUGGCCCUAAAUUAUGAGUUGUAUAAUUUAAGAGAAAAUUAAGUAAUAAUUAAAAGCCAAAGGGCGCUCUAUGAGGAAUGCCUUUUCUUCUUCUUGCACUAGAAGGAGGCGUAUGUGGGCAUAGAUUUUGUUGUAUGCCUUCACGAAAUUCUU